CUCAGUUCGGAUUGGAGGCUGAAAUUCGACCGCAUGAAGUCGGAAUCGCUAGUAAUCGCGAAUCAGAAUGUCGCGGUGAAUACGUUCCCGGGUCUUGUACACACCGCCCGUCACACCAUGGGAGUUGGAAGCGCCCGAAGUCUGUGACCUAACCGAAAGGGAGGAGCAGCCGAAGGUGAAGCCAGUGACUGGGGUGAAGUCGUAACAAGGUACC
RNAcentral lists this ribosomal RNA (214 nucleotides) under uncultured bacterium. Its description in RNAcentral is "partial 16S ribosomal RNA". It matches the Rfam family "Bacterial small subunit ribosomal RNA", at positions 1287 to 1500 of the family's 1533-position model. The record is from RNAcentral.